AGAGUUUGAUCCUGGCUCAGGAUGAACGCUGGCGGCGUGCCUAAUACAUGCAAGUCGAGCGAACAGAUAAGGAGCUUGCUCCUUUGAAGUUAGCGGCGGACGGGUGAGUAACACGUGGGUAACCUACCUAUAAGACUGGGAUAACUUCGGGAAACCGGAGCUAAUACCGGAUAACAUUUAGAACCGCAUGGUUCUAAAGUGAAAGAUGGUUUUGCUAUCACUUAUAGAUGGACCCGCGCCGUAUUAGCUAGUUGGUAAGGUAACGGCUUACCAAGGCGACGAUACGUAGCCGACCUGAGAGGGUGAUCGGCCACACUGGAACUGAGACACGGUCCAGACUCCUACGGGAGGCAGCAGUAGGGAAUCUUCCGCAAUGGGCGAAAGCCUGACGGAGCAACGCCGCGUGAGUGAUGAAGGGUUUCGGCUCGUAAAACUCUGUUAUUAGGGAAGGACAAAUGUGUAAGUAACUGUGCACAUCUUGACGGUACCUAAUCAGAAAGCCACGGCUAACUACGUG
Molecule: ribosomal RNA, 517 nt
Filed under: uncultured Staphylococcus sp.
Lineage: Bacteria; Bacillati; Bacillota; Bacilli; Caryophanales; Staphylococcaceae
Description: bacterial SSU rRNA
Rfam family: Bacterial small subunit ribosomal RNA
Source: RNAcentral